RNAcentral lists this ribosomal RNA (2890 nucleotides) under Eikenella corrodens. RNAcentral describes it as "bacterial LSU rRNA". It matches the Rfam family "Bacterial large subunit ribosomal RNA". Lineage: Bacteria; Pseudomonadati; Pseudomonadota; Betaproteobacteria; Neisseriales; Neisseriaceae. The record is from RNAcentral.
AUAGAGUCAAGUGAAUAAGUGCAUCAGGUGGAUGCCUUGGCGAUGAUAGGCGACGAAGGACGUGUAAGCCUGCGAAAAGCAUCGGGGAGCUGGCAAUAGAGCUUUGAUCCGGUGAUGUCCGAAUGGGGAAACCCACACAGCAAUGUGUAUCCUAAGCUGAAUACAUAAGCUUAGAGAAGCGAACCCGGAGAACUGAACCAUCUAAGUACCCGGAGGAAAAGAAAUCAACCGAGAUUCCGCAAGUAGUGGCGAGCGAACGCGGAGGAGCCUGUAUGUGAUAGUUGUCGGGAUAGGAGAAGGAAUUGGAAACUUCCGCCAUAGUGGGUGAUAGCCCCGUAUCCGAAAUUCCGGCAGUGGUACUAAGCAUACGACAAGUAGGGCGGGACACGAGAAAUCCUGUCUGAAGAUGGGGGGACCAUCCUCCAAGGCUAAAUACUCAUCAUCGACCGAUAGUGAACCAGUACCGUGAGGGAAAGGCGAAAAGAACCCCGGGAGGGGAGUGAAAUAGAACCUGAAACCUGAUGCAUACAAACAGUGGGAGCACCUUAUGGUGUGACUGCGUACCUUUUGUAUAAUGGGUCAACGACUUACAUUCAGUAGCGAGCUUAACCGGAUAGGGGAGGCGUAGGGAAACCGAGUCUUAAUAGGGCGUCAUAGUUGCUGGGUGUAGACCCGAAACCGAGUGAUCUAUCCAUGGCCAGGUUGAAGGUGCCGUAACAGGUACUGGAGGACCGAACCCACGCAUGUUGCAAAAUGCGGGGAUGAGCUGUGGAUAGGGGUGAAAGGCUAAACAAACUCGGAGAUAGCUGGUUCUCCCCGAAAACUAUUUAGGUAGUGCCUCAUGUAUCACUUCCGGGGGUAAAGCACUGUUAUGGCUAGGGGGUCAUUGCGACUUACCAACCCAUGGCAAACUCAGAAUACCGGAAAGUGCAAUCAUGGGAGACAGACAGCGGGUGCUAACGUCCGUUGUCGAGAGGGAAACAACCCAGACCGCCAGCUAAGGUCCCAAAUGAUAGAUUAAGUGGUAAACGAAGUGGGAAGGCUUAGACAGCCAGGAUGUUGGCUUAGAAGCAGCCAUCAUUUAAAGAAAGCGUAAUAGCUCACUGGUCGAGUCAUCCUGCGCGGAAGAUGUAACGGGGCUCAAAUCUAUAACCGAAGCUGCGGAUGCACCUAGUGCAUGGUAGGGGAGCGUUCUGUAGGCCUGAGAAGGUGUUUCGUAAGGAAUGCUGGAGGUAUCAGAAGUGCGAAUGUUGACAUGAGUAGCGAUAAAGCGGGUGAAAAGCCCGCUCGCCGAAAGCCCAAGGUUUCCUGCGCAACGUUCAUCGGCGCAGGGUGAGUCGGCCCCUAAGGCGAGGCAGAGAUGCGUAGUCGAUGGGAAACGGGUUAAUAUUCCCGUACUUGAUUUAAGUGCGAUGUGGGGACGGAGAAGGUUAGGUCAGCAAACUGUUGGAAUAGUUUGUUCAAACCGGUAGGUGGAAGGAUUAGGCAAAUCCGGUUCUUCAUAACACCGAGAAGUGAUAACGAGUAUCUACGGAUACGAAGUGACUGAUACCACGCUUCCAGGAAAAGCCACUAAGCUCUAGCUUAAAUCGAACCGUACCGCAAACCGACACAGGUGGGCAGGAUGAGAAUUCUAAGGCGCUUGAGAGAACUCGGGAGAAGGAACUCGGCAAAUUGAUACCGUAACUUCGGGAGAAGGUAUGCCCUCUGAGGUGAAGGAUUUACUCCGUAAGCUUUGGAGGGUCGCAGAGAAUCGGUGGCUGCGACUGUUUAUUAAAAACACAGCACUCUGCAAACACGAAAGUGGACGUAUAGGGUGUGACGCCUGCCCGGUGCUGGAAGGUUAAUUGAAGAUGUGAGAGCAUCGGAUCGAAGCCCCAGUAAACGGCGGCCGUAACUAUAACGGUCCUAAGGUAGCGAAAUUCCUUGUCGGGUAAGUUCCGACCCGCACGAAUGGCGUAACGAUGGCCACACUGUCUCCUCCCGAGACUCAGCGAAGUUGAAGUGGUUGUGAAGAUGCAAUCUACCCGCUGCUAGACGGAAAGACCCCGUGAACCUUUACUGUAGCUUUGCAUUGGACUUUGAAGUCACUUGUGUAGGAUAGGUGGGAGGCUUAGAAGCAGAGACGCUAGUUUCUGUGGAGCCGUCCUUGAAAUACCACCCUGGUGACUUUGAGGUUCUAACCCAGGUCCGUUAACCGGAUCGGGGACCGUGCAUGGUAGGCAGUUUGACUGGGGCGGUCUCCUCCCAAAGAGUAACGGAGGAGUUCGAAGGUUACCUAGGUCCGGUCGGAAAUCGGACUGAUAGUGCAAUGGCAAAAGGUAGCUUAACUGCGAGACCGACAAGUCGAGCAGGUGCGAAAGCAGGACAUAGUGAUCCGGUGGUUCUGAAUGGAAGGGCCAUCGCUCAACGGAUAAAAGGUACUCCGGGGAUAACAGGCUGAUUCCGCCCAAGAGUUCAUAUCGACGGCGGAGUUUGGCACCUCGAUGUCGGCUCAUCACAUCCUGGGGCUGUAGUCGGUCCCAAGGGUAUGGCUGUUCGCCAUUUAAAGUGGUACGUGAGCUGGGUUUAAAACGUCGUGAGACAGUUUGGUCCCUAUCUGCAGUGGGCGUUGGAAGUUUGACAGGGGCUGCUCCUAGUACGAGAGGACCGGAGUGGACGAACCUCUGGUGUACCGGUUGUCACGCCAGUGGCAUCGCCGGGUAGCUAAGUUCGGGAAGGAUAAGCGCUGAAAGCAUCUAAGCGCGAAACCUGCCUGGAGAUGAGACUUCCCUUGCGGUAUAACCGCGCUGAAGAGUCGUUCUAGACCAGGACGUUGAUAGGUGGGGUGUGGAAGCGCGGCAACGCGUGCAGCUAACCCAUACUAAUUGCUCGUGAGGCUUGACUCUAU